Long non-coding RNA from Papaver somniferum (opium poppy), 1329 nucleotides. RefSeq lists it as uncharacterized. Lineage: Eukaryota; Viridiplantae; Streptophyta; Magnoliopsida; Ranunculales; Papaveraceae. The record is from RefSeq and is a predicted model, not a curated record. The transcript has 3 exons.
UGUUCUAGUAAAGAUUUUUGAUGGCGAAACAGCAACCCUAAAAUUCACAACUCCCAACAAUAUCAGGUAAAUCAAUCAAAAGCCAUUAUACAAAAUAACUCAAAUCCCCCAACUUCAUCAGAGAUUGAUCACAUGAACCAAACAAAUCAACAAUGAAACCUAAUUACAAAAAUCCCUAAUAAUUAUAUAGAGAUGGUAUUCACAUUUCAAACUACUGGGUCAUCUUCUUGGUGGAAAAUGAGGGUUUUGGUCACUCUUAGAGAUAUGAGUGGUAGAAGAUUGAGACAUCUGAAUGCUGAUUAGAAAUUAGAAGAAUGGAAAGUUAAGAAGAAGAGAGGAAAUUAGAGAAAGUUACUGAGAAGUUUCUGAAGAAGAUAAGGGAAGAAUUGAAGAAAAACGGGUGUAAAGGUAGUGAGAAAUAUAGAGAGGAUUCUUAGACAUUCAUGGAAGGUGGUGAGAAUGCUGUUAGGAAUGCAUUUGGGGGUUCGAAGGAAGAUCUUUCCUACUUCUGGGGAAGUUCAGAAAAGCAUUUGAAGCUAUUGGCAGUGAAACAAAAGUGAUAGCAGUGCAGAUGAAGACGAAAGUGAUAGCAGUGCUGAUGAAGAUGAUGGACAUCGUAGUUUCUUGAUGAUGGAAGUCAUGAUAUAAAGUUAAAGGAUGGUGAAGGAAGUUCUGGUUCUGGUUCAGUGGAGAAUUUUGAUGGUGAAUCUUCUUCUCCUGGAGGUUUGACAGAGAGGAGCUCGGGAUGUUUUGAACUGGGGCAAGGGUCUGGAGUUCAUACUGAAAUCCAUCAGCUUGUAGGACCGGAGUUGGGGAGUCAUGAGGAUAUUGUAUCUGAAGCUGAGGUUCAUGUUAAAAGUAAUGGGGCUGUUGAAACUAAAUCUGAAAAUGAUAUUCAAAUAGUUGAUGAAAGUGCAAUCGUUUCGAAUCUGGAAACUGGGAGUGGUUCUGUUGAAGAAGCAGCAGUUGCAAGUGAAAACUACUCUGAUUUAGAGAAGCCAUUGGAUUUGGAUGAUUUUAACUCUGCUUCAGAGAUACAGGUUCUUGGUUUGGAGAGGUUAAAAGCAGAAUUACAAGCACAUGGAUUGUAAUGUGGGGGGAUGUUACAAGAGCUUGUUUCUAGGCUUUUCCUGCUAAAAAACACAUCUGUAAGUAAACUGCCAAAGAACCUCUUGCCAAAGAAAUAAUUUUUUGUAAUUCACAGUUGUUUAUGACAAAGUAGCUACACAGAGGUAUUGUACUGUAUCGUUUUCAAGAUAACUAUUUAAUGGAAUUGCAAACUUCGUUGUGAAAAGUCUUAUCCUGAAUACAAAGAAUGAACUUCAGCUU